GGGCCCGCACAAGCGGUGGAUUAUGUGGAUUAAUUCGAUGCAACGCGAAAAACCUUACCUGGCCUUGACAUGUACCGAAUUUAGCAGAGAUGCUUUAGUGCUCGUAAGAGAACGGUAACACAGGUGCUGCAUGGCUGUCGUCAGCUCGUGUCGUGAGAUGUUGGGUUAAGUCCCGCAACGAGCGCAACCCUUGCCAUUAAUUGCCAUCAUUUAGUUGGGCACUUUAAUGGGACUGCCGGUGACAAACCGGAGGAAGGUGGGGAUGACGUCAAGUCCUCAUGGCCCUUAUGGCCAGGGCUUCACACGUAAUACAAUGGAUGGUACAGAGGGACGCCAACCCGCGAGGGGGAGCCAAUCCCAGAAAGCCAUUCGUAGUCCGGAUUGUUGUCUGCAACUCGACAACAUGAAGUCGGAAUCGCUAGUAAUCG
RNAcentral lists this ribosomal RNA (428 nucleotides) under uncultured bacterium. Its description in RNAcentral is "bacterial SSU rRNA". It matches the Rfam family "Bacterial small subunit ribosomal RNA", at positions 917 to 1344 of the family's 1533-position model. The record is from RNAcentral.